RNAcentral lists this unclassified non-coding RNA (398 nucleotides) under Hevea brasiliensis (rubber tree). Lineage: Eukaryota; Viridiplantae; Streptophyta; Magnoliopsida; Malpighiales; Euphorbiaceae. The record is from RNAcentral.
CUAAAACCAAAAAUCUCUCAAUUCUUCCGUUUCCCUCUGAAAUAUUAAAAAUUGUUAUUGUUCUAUUUUCAUCAAUUCAAAUUUUAAUUCUUCAGAUCUCUGAUUCAAUUCAUGGACUCGCCUUCCCUUGAGGAUCACGCUCGAAUCGCUAUUGCCGGAGAGACGUCUAUUAGAAGGGACACUUUUACAGAACAGCCUCUUUCGCCCAAAGAUGAAAGGAUUGUUUCAGCAAAUCCUUCUCCGGAUGCAGCCAUCAUAGGGCCAUCAAGAGAUGUUACAGACCAACCACAAUCUUCUGAUGCUGGUGGAGAUCUUAGUAUUCUACCUCCGCACAAUACUUAUGCUUCACAUGAACAGAUGUUAUCAUAUGGCAGUUAUGGCAAUAGUGCCAGUGCUUG